This 451-nucleotide ribosomal RNA is filed under the name uncultured Bacteroidota bacterium. Its description in RNAcentral is "bacterial SSU rRNA". It matches the Rfam family "Bacterial small subunit ribosomal RNA", at positions 119 to 568 of the family's 1533-position model. The record is from RNAcentral. Lineage: Bacteria; Pseudomonadati; Bacteroidota.
AUGCAAUCUACCUUUUGCAGAGGGAUAGCCCAGAGAAAUUUGGAUUAAUACCUCAUAGUAUAUAGAGUUGGCAUCAACACUAUAUUAAAGUCACAACGGCAAAAGAUGAGCAUGCGUCCCAUUAGCUAGUUGGUAAGGUAACGGCUUACCAAGGCUACGAUGGGUAGGGGUCCUGAGAGGGAGAUCCCCCACACUGGUACUGAGACACGGACCAGACUCCUACGGGAGGCAGCAGUGAGGAAUAUUGGACAAUGGGCGCAAGCCUGAUCCAGCCAUGCCGCGUGCAGGAUGACGGUCCUAUGGAUUGUAAACUGCUUUUGCACAGGAAGAAACAACGCUACGUGUAGCGUCUUGACGGUACUGUGAGAAUAAGGAUCGGCUAACUCCGUGCCAGCAGCCGCGGUAAUACGGAGGAUCCAAGCGUUAUCCGGAAUCAUUGGGUUUAAAGGGU